AGGCUGCUGGGAUUGAUGGCUCUGACAGUGUUGCACUACUGUCUACACAAAUUAAGCAGUGCAAUAAUAUUGUCAAAGCAUUUGGUUCCAGUCC
This 94-nucleotide microRNA precursor is filed under the name Anolis carolinensis (green anole). RNAcentral's name for it is "microRNA aca-mir-301b precursor". Its record names the gene aca-mir-301b. It matches the Rfam family "mir-301 microRNA precursor family". The record is from miRBase by way of RNAcentral. Lineage: Eukaryota; Metazoa; Chordata; Lepidosauria; Squamata; Anolidae.